This 2754-nucleotide long non-coding RNA is filed under the name Homo sapiens (human). Its description in RNAcentral is "HSALNT0011773". The record is from RNAcentral. Lineage: Eukaryota; Metazoa; Chordata; Mammalia; Primates; Hominidae.
UUUAUUAAUUUAUGUAUUCAAUAAACAGUAAAUGAGUAUCUACAGGAAGAGUAUAGAUAUAAGUACACAAAAUAAAAACUCCUGCCCUCAUGGUGCUUCCAUUCUAAAUGUGUAGUGGUCAGCAGAGAUGAAGGUGAAAUGAAUCACAAAUCCAUAAGUGAAAUGUACAGUAUAUCAGAUAGCAAUAAAUAAUAUUACUAAAAAGAAAGAAAGCACAGAAGAUAAGUGUGGAGUGCUGAAAUUUGAAAUACUCUGAUCCGGGAAGGCCUUAUAGAGAAGGCAAUAUUUGAGUAAACAUUUGAAAGAGCAAGUGCAGGACAAAGGUCUAAGAAUAGAGUAAGCAAAUGCAUAGCAAUGGGAGAGGUAAGAUCAAAGAGGUGAGUGGGAGCCAGAUAACCUAGACCAGUGUAAGAACUUUGGUACUAAAUGGAAAAUAUAUCAUUUUUCCAAUAUCCGUGGAUAUUCCAUAUCCAUGGAUAAUUUUGAGCAAGGGAGUAAUAUGGUUUUAUGUGUAUUUCAAAAACAAAAUUAUAGGGUUGCUGUGCUGAAAACAGACUGAACUGGGAAACAAGGCAUAAAGUAGAAGAACAACUAGAAUAUUACCACAAUAAUCAGCGUGAGGAACAAUUGUACUUUGGACCUGAUGAUAUCAACGGAAGGGUGAAAAAUGAUCCAACUGACAAGAUUUGCAGAUGAUCUAUACCAACAGAUGUGUUGUUAAAUUAAUUAUCUUCCUAAACAUAAAGAAGAUAGAAGACCUUUCAGCUACUAUGUCAUCCCAGAUGAUGCCAAUCCAGUCCUACUCCCACAUGGAACUUUAACCACUACUCAUGCUUUCUACAAGCACUGAGGGAAGCCAGAUGCUCCAUGUGAACUGCCUUAGAGAGGGCCAUGCAGCAAGUAGAUGCCUCUGUCCAACAGCCAGCAAAGACCUGAGACCUACCAAUAACCAUAGAAGUGAUCUUGGAAGCUAGUUCUUCUCUGUAGUUGAGCUUUGAGAUGAAUGCAGCUCUGAGUGACACUUUUACUGCAACUCAUUGAAAGACCCAUAUUCAGAGGAUAUAUAACUAAGCUGUGCCCAGUUUCCAGGCCCAUAGAAACGGUUAUCAAAAAGGAGACAAUGUUAUUAUAUUUACAGCUUCACAGAUUUAUAUAUCAAGAGAAACUACCCAAGGAGACUCAUCCACACUUGGAAGAGAUUUAGACAAUGAGAUUCUGGACCGUGAGCAGAUGAGAUAAGACUUUUGAGGAUGUUGGGAGGAGGUGGAUGUAUUUUGUGCAUGGAAAGGAUGUGAACAGCUAGAGGUCAGAAUGUGGACUACCAUGAAAGGCUCUAACGUGAACCCAAAUUUUACUUUUAUCUGAUGGUCACAACUUGUGUAAUCCUCUCCACUGGAGUGUGCAAAGAACUCAUAAUGGUUACCUUGCUUCUAACUAAUAUAAUAAAUACUUCAGUGAUUACAUACAUAAGAUUAUAAAGUGUCUUGCAGGCAACCUCUUUCUUUUUUGCAGGAUUUGUUGAAGGCAGCUACUAUGUUUUGACCUGUCUUAGGGAGACACCAACAUGAGAAGAGAAUGAAGGAGGCUUCCCUUCAACAGCCAGCGAGAAAAAGAGAUUCUCAGGAAUUUAAACAACAAAGAAAGAAGUUUACCAACUAUCACAUGUGCUUGGAAGUGGAGCCUUGCUCAAUUGAGAUUUGAGAUAAGACAACAGCCCAGGCUAACACCUUGUUUGCAGCCUUUUGAGACCUGAAAUAAGGUACUGACUGGUGCAGAGGACGCAGCUAAGCUAUGCCCCCACCCCGACCCACAGAAACCAUGAAAUUACAUGUAUUUUCCAAACCACUAAGUUGUUGGUAAUAUUGUACACAGUAAUAGGAAAGUAAUGAAAUAGGUGUUCAUAUUUUUUUCUAAUAUUUACUCUUAAAAUACUACACAUUAAAGAAAACUUUAACAUGAAUGCUACAUUUUUAAGUUUUUAAGGUUUUCUAAAAAUAUACAAGACAUUUUGUCUAAAGUAAAAUCAGAGGAUAAGUGAAAGGAGAUUUCUCUAUUGAUCAUUACCAAGAGGUUAGCAUCUUGGUAAAUAUCUUAAAUAUUUGAACUAAAAAAUAUACAAAUUGUCUUUUAGGAGAAUUUGUGGUUUUGCUUGGGGUAUUUUUGUUUGUUUGAUUUUUUUUGUUUUUUUUUCUAAAUCAGUACUGUCUUCAAAACAAAUUCAUGUGCUUCUUAGGAAAACCUUACAUAACUCUGACCAAUUACCCCAAAGCAGUGAUUCGUUCUUUGUACACCUUUAGGUGGAGAAGUCUGGAAUGCCAAUGGUAUAAAGAUGAAAUCGAGAUGUGUUAAAAGGAUUGCAUGAAACUUCCUUAAGUAAAAAUGAUGCACGAAACAGCCAUAUUUAUAUUUAUAUUUUGGAUAGCUGUAUUUGCUUGCAACAUUUUCUUAGUGAUCCUGUUUGUGUUUUAGACCCACUCGUCUCCAUUUACCUGUGAGCCCCAUCCCUAGAAGCAGACAUCCAAAGCCCCAGAAAAGAUGGGCUUAUUUCCUGCUCUGUCCCAAGGGCAAAGCUUCCGAGGAGAAGAGCAGCUCAUUGUGAUGAAGUAGCUGCUGCGCUUGAUUGUUACUAGGCAAAAAUAUUGUUUCAAUAUUGUCCUGUUAUCUAAUAAACUUCUCAUGGAAAAGGAGACUGAGAUGCCAACUUUAUUUUUCAAAAAUAUUGUAAGAAAAGCCCCACAUGGCUCUGAAGGGGAU